UUCGAAGUCAAGCACUGGACAGUGAGAAUUACCACUAAGUUCAUCCCUAAAGGAUCAUCAUCUAUGCUACAUUUUCUGUGAAAGAUCUCAGAUGGGAAUUUACACUGUUCCUGUUCAAGCAUAUUCAGAUACCAGGCACUGUGAUCACAGUCCAGAGCUGUGUAUGUGACAUAGGUUUGUCCACUACUCAUAUAAAUCCCAGCAGACAUCUCCAAAAGAAAUCACCAGUCUGAAGUCCAGGAACAUGGAUCACAAAGUUAAUCAGCUCUCUUGAUUUCAGGGGAGAUGCGCCGUGUAACAGAGUGAAUGAAUCUGAAGCCUUCAGACUUCCCCUUUGCUUUUCUGGGGAUAAAUUCAGGCAGAGAAAGGCAAAUCCCUGACUUUUGUUCUCUUCAAAACAAGAAUUAAGAUACAUGUGUUGGAAGAACAUUACUGAAGUCACCCAAAGUCUGGCCAACACAUCGUAGCCAAGGGAGCAGGAUUUUGGAGGAGGACCAAAAGUGUUAUAGAGGCUACUGUUUACACAAUUUCUCCAGCCCUUCCUGCUCUCAAGGAAUCACCAGUUCUCUCAGACCCAGUAGCUGUUGUACAGUCAGCCAUGACAAUUCUACCGGGGAAUCCUGCUGCUGGAGGAAUGUUUGGACCUCUCCCAGUGGAGGCUGACAGGUAUUAUGUCUUCAGAGACUUAGGGAACAUCUUGAAGGUUCAUCUGAGAAGCUUCCCCUUGACACUAGGGAAAAAGAAUUUGAAAAUGUGAUGGGAGAACAGAGAGGAUAAUAAAAAGAGUCUGAGUACAGGAAAAAAAAUAUCAAGGUCAGGUAAAAAUGAAGGGAUGCUGCAGCAGCCAAAAGGUUGGAUAGAUGAAGAAGUCCAGUUGCACAGCCUUGGGAGCUAGUGUACAGUAGCCACACAGAAGCGUGGACAAAUUUUGUCAUUUUAUAUUAUAUGAGAAUUGAUUCAGGGUUUUAGAUAUCAACAGUACCAGGGCAUUGUGUUAUUGUAUGUGUGGUUGAUACAACCUGGAAGACUUUGCAAUAAGGCAGUCACCUCAUCAGCAGUUGUUCUGCACUGGAACGUUGGCUUCACAAUCUGAACUGAUACCUGGUAAGCAAGGAUAAGGGGUAUUGUCAUGGGUUAGCUAGCAUAGGCCCUGAAGUGAUGAUCUUGCAAAGGGGUGCUUACAGCUUCCUCUGUGACCUGACAGGACCUAUCAGCUGGCCAGUUUGAAUAUGGACAAU
Molecule: long non-coding RNA, 1238 nt
Organism: Corvus hawaiiensis (hawaiian crow)
Lineage: Eukaryota; Metazoa; Chordata; Aves; Passeriformes; Corvidae
Exons: 5
Source: RefSeq, a predicted model, not a curated record